Molecule: long non-coding RNA, 564 nt
Filed under: Cricetulus griseus (Chinese hamster)
Lineage: Eukaryota; Metazoa; Chordata; Mammalia; Rodentia; Cricetidae
Description: lncRNA (ENSCGRG00015037714.1)
Source: RNAcentral
GGAUACUGUGCAAUGUGUAAGUUGAUUUCCUGUUGCUUACAAGAUGUAGUAGUCUCAGCUCCAGCACAUCUUCCUUCAUGAUGCUUUGCUUCUUGCCAUGAUGGACUGAACCUCAGAACUGGCAUGAUCCACAUGAAUUAAUCCUACCCAAGCCAUCUCACAUGUCAUUGUAUGAUGAAGAGCAAUUGCCCUACUUGAACUUGCUUGGAGUUUCUGAGUGUGGUCCAUAGCAUUUACUGAAGGUGGCAGAGAGAGGACCGGAUCAUAGAGGCAGAACUCCUUCAAAGAUAUGAUGCUAGUAGCCACCGCCUGUUUGAGACCACAGGUACCAGGAACCAGAGGUGAACAAGAUCAAGCCAGUCAACAUUGUAGCACCGAGUAGCCUUUUUUUUCCUUUGAAGAAUAUAUAUCAAAAUCUUUUGUCCAUUUCGACACUGUCUUGUCUUUUGCUGGUGAAUUGCAAACAUCCUCUGUUUGUUCUGGAUACCAAGGCUUCAGCAGUUCACAGUGGAGCAUGGAGGAUAGCCCGGCAUGACACAUAGUCACUCCUGUCAUGGCAGCUGC